Molecule: unclassified non-coding RNA, 482 nt
Filed under: Anelosimus eximius
Lineage: Eukaryota; Metazoa; Arthropoda; Arachnida; Araneae; Theridiidae
Description: partial contains tRNA-Leu and 16S ribosomal RNA
Rfam family: Bacterial large subunit ribosomal RNA (bases 58-355)
Source: RNAcentral
CUUUAUUAAUUUCUUAUAUAUAAUUUAUAUUAAAUAUAAAAAUAUAUUUUUUAAAUAAAAUAGACGAUAAGACCCUAUUAAAUUUUACUUAUAGUUUAACUGGGGAAGUUUUAAAAAUAAAAUUUUUUAUAAAAAUAAAAAUAAAUCUAAUAAAAUUAAAAUUAAAUUAAAUUACUAUAGGGAUAACAGCAUUAUAUUUUUUAAAAGUUCAUAUUAAAAAAAAUGAUUGUGACCUCGAUGUUGAAUUAUAUUUUCUUUAUUAAUGCAAUAAUUAUAAAAGUAGAUCUGUUCGAUCUUUAAAAUAUUACAUGAUUUGAGUUCAAACCGGUGUAAACCAGGUUGGUUUCUAUCUUUUUAUAAAUUCAUAUAUAUAUAUAUAUAUAUAUAUACAUAAAUUUUUCAAGUACGAAAGGAAAAAAAAAUUUUUAUUUUAAUUAAUUAGCAAUUAAUAUGCAUUAGAUUUAGAAUCUAAAUAAACUAUU